UUGGUUUUUUUUUUUUUUUUUUUUUUUUUUUUUUUUUGUAAGAUCUAUCUCCUUAAAAAAAUCUUAAGGGAACUGCAACGGUGAGUCUUUAGAAAAAAAUUCCACAUCAAAGAAUCGUGUUAGCCGUAAAAUGAUCGUUGCCAUGGUUUUAAACUGUGCCAAAUUACCAGCAAGUGUCUUUAUUACAGUACUUGGCUAACAUGGCUGCUGAAACAUAUUUGGUGGGAAUACAAGUGGAGUGCACUUCAAUUAGACUGGACAGUUCUAAUGGAAGAAGCUAGCUAACUAAUUAGCAGCAAUUCUGGUCACUGGAAAUGUGAGUCAGAGACAUGCUGUUUGAGAUGUGAUUUACUAGCACAUUGUCAGAUACAACCUUCCAUAGUUUACAAUGCCCCUCAGUUGUUGCCACUCAUUUCUCCAUCAUGGUGGUUUCUAGCUUCUGCACUCUGGUUUUUUUUCUUUGUGGGUACAUAUUUUGUGAAGUGCCACCUUCCUCUGCUGAACUAAUACCAUCAUCUUCUGCUACAGGACAGGAGAUACUUGACAGGGCAAAACCUCAGUUUGCCACCUAAGAAGGGGUGCCAAUGAGCACAUACCUCUUCUCACUUUAAAAAAAAAAAUUGUGUUGCUGAAGGCAAUCCCAUUCACCCAUAAGUGUUGUCAAGUAAACCAAAAGAGGAAGGAUGUUUUCCCCCAAAGGACUGGCACAGGAGGGGGAUUGGGGAAAUCUAGCAGACAUAGUAGUCACAGCAUGUCUAUUUGGUUGAUUUAAGAACAAUAAAAAGGAACAUCAGAUGUUAACCAUAGAGAAAAUCCUGUAGGUUCAUGUACUAAAGAGAGUGCUGUAUGUUCUAUGAACUGCUAAGCAGAGAGCAACUUUCUCCAACAGUUAUGUGUGCUAGAUUAGUGGGGGUCUUUCUCUGUGUAUUAGAUCAUUCAAGUGAUUCAAUAAAGUUAUGUUUGGAGAUACUCACCCUCCCCCCCCCAAAAAAAAACUAUGGAGCAAUUUUAGAAGUCUGGAGUAUCUCAAAGUUCAUGGUAGUUAAGCCUUUUCUACUAGGGGUUUAUCUCAUAAUUUUUAAUGAAGACUUGACUGCUGUCUCAAAGUGGCUUGCUAUUUUAGGUACAAGGGAGUAUUUUGUUCUGUGACUUAAGAACCUGGAGUCCCAUGUAAUAUUUAGGAGCCAAUAGAUUCCUGACCUGCCACUGCAACAACACACUGACAGUUUCUCCAUGCAGGCCACAAAUAAGUAAGAAUAAAGCAUGAAGUUGUAUAAGAUGGAGAAUGUAGCUGUUUAGGGUUAUAGCUUAGCUGAGGCAUUUUAAGUGAUUCUGAAAUAAUUACAGAAUAGUAGCAAAAAUAAUGUACCCAACAAUGUACUUUGUAAAAGUUGAUGUAAUAUUUGAGAGAGGGAGAGUCUAUAAACCUGAGAAUGUUAAGAGUUUUAAGGUGGCAAAAGCGUCAACAUUUCAGCCUGAUCUCUUAAUUUCCUUGGACAAAUAAGUCUCUAGCCUCAGUCUAACUUUUUUUUUUCCUAACUGUAUUAGGCAAUUUCUAUAUAUUAGCUUAAGAAAGUUUGUUGCAUGCUGGUCAAACAGUGUUGUGGCUCUUUUUAAAAAAAGCACAUUUACUGUAAUUCAACUCAACACUUUUUCCUCUUGAUAUGUAGUAAGUCCUAGGCAAUAUUGUAUAAUAUGUGUAUGAACUAGAUUAGAUUAGAUAGAUUUAGUGGUUUGUAGCACUGGAUCUUUUAAUAACUAUGUCUUUAAAAGGACUAUGGGAAUAUAGAUACAUUCCAAACUUGAUAACUGAAUGACAGGGGUUUUAUCUUCAGUUACUUUGAAAAUUUUAUAUGGGUAUUUUGUUUGGAUACUAGCUACCUGUAUAACUAGUUAUUAACACUUUACCUGUGUCCAGUAAGAGGUAUGCAACUUCCCCCAAAUCUUUUUAACUGGGUGUGAGAGGAAUAAAUAUGCCAAAAAGCAUCCCAAGAAAUCUCCUUUUGGGACUGGCAGUUGGACAGCUCUGUUCCUCCAUGAAUAGCGAAAUCCACAUUUUGUGGUUGCACCUCCUUCAACUCUGCAAGCUCAAAUGUGAUUAGUUAAAUAUAGGACUAUUCGAGGCUAUGGAUCGUCUUGUUUAUGUUUUUAAUCACAUUAGAAGGUCACUGUCAGAUUAAAACUCCUAUUUUUAAAAAUAUAUAUUUUUCUCUUCUGUGUUAAUAAAAUAACACUAGAAAUUACUGUAAUUGAAAGUUAUUCUAUUUUAUGCUGUCUUGCUUAUCUGCAUUUCUCACAUCUUGAAUAGUGAUAAUAGACUAGCUAGUUUCACUUAGUUUGUCGUGCACUAGGGGAAUGCUACAGUGUCUGGGUUUCAAACACUCAAGAACUGUGUUUACAGGCAAAUAAAAAUGUUUUCCCCACUGGGAUAGUGGGAUUAAAAUAAAACAAACCACAGAAACACUUCUAAUGGUUCACAAUCAAAGAGCUUUAGGCUAGGAGGAUCAUUAUGAGCUUUCUAGCACAACCUCCUUCAUGCCUCAGGUGGGAGAAUUUCAGCCAAUACUUCCUGCAUUGAGCUCAAUGUGUGUCGAUAAAGUAGAGAAAAAUCUUUUAGUUAGAUAUGCUGUCUUGAUUUAAGGACUCCAAGUGAUAGUGCUCCACAAGGUCUUAAGCUUGGAAAAACUGACUUUUGCAAAACCAAACUUUUUUGGUCAUAUUUGAUCUGCCAUUGUCUGUGUAAGAUAAUGUGAUAUGGUAGCUCUAACUUCUGCCUCUGGCACAUCAAAUCUGUAAAAGUAGCAGUUUACUAGAAUGAGCAUCUGAAACCUGAAUAAAGGUACAUUACUCGUAAAAGAGUCUUAAGUUUAAGUGUUAGUUAUGUUUUUUCUCUGUGAGCAAACCUAAGACAGGGAUGGGCAACUUGCAUCCCAUCAGGGUUCUGUGUGUAGCCCGCAAGAUACUUUAUUUACUACUGCCCAUGUGCAGGGUUGCUAAUUUCCGCUGGCUUCUGUCCGCAUAGUGUUUUCCUUACCAGUACUACUCAAGUGACAUGCACAUAAAACAAGGGCACAUGAAGUGAGGUGCAUGCUGAUUGUACACGGUAUUGAUUGUGAGAGCUGCAUGUUCUUGCUGCAUCCAAUCAAAGCAUUGCUGCGGUUCAGUCGACACACCCGCAAAUUCUAGGCAUGCAGCACAGUUAAGCAAACACGCCCUAUUCUGGGAGACUGUCUUGGUUAUGACAGUCUUUUGGCUCACUGAGAUGGAGGGCCGCUCGUGCAGCCCGCUCACUAGCCUAAGUUAACCAUCCCUGGCAUAAGAGUGGGUGAAGGGACAAAUCAUUGCAUGCUCAGCAGAGGGCUAAUUCUCCAUUUCUUGCAUACCUAAAGCUGUUCUUGAUGUUCAUGGGAGGUUCAAUUGCAAAAGGAAUCCUUAGAUGUCACUUUUUUGUCAUCUAUCUUUUUGCUUUUAAGGAGGUGGUGAUGGCUAUAUCAUUAAGAGCAAAAUUACCUUUUCCUGAUGGGAAGUCCAUGAACAAGGAGAGCAGAAUUUUGGAACCGAGACUUGUACAGAUUUCCCCUGUUUGCAGUGUGAACAUGCUGAAGAUACAACAAUAUGAUCAGUCCUGGCUUCUCCCCCCCCCCCCCCUCCAAGCACCUGGCAUUGCUUUCUCCUUGCCCUGACCCAACUAGCAUGAUGUAGAGAUAAAAUAAGGCAUGGAUUAUGUAUUUGAAUCCAUGGAUCCAGAUUCUAGUACCUCCAUGGAUUCAAGUAUAAGAGUUUGUCUAUGUGGAUCCAGUUGUAGGAUGAGGGCUAAGCAGACUUUGGGCUGGCUGUCCAAUCUACGCAUCCCAACUUCUUGGAAAGGAUUUUUGAAGGAAAAUCACAGUUCUUUGUUUGAAUGAUAUUUCAUGUUCUUAAUUAUGGAUCAUUUAUCAAAGUACUGAUUAGAAAUUGUAGGUUUUUCUGGAGUCAGAAUGUCACAAGUUCUUAUAUAGGAUCUAUUUAUCAUGUUGAAGCAGUUAGCAGGCUCUCAACUGAAGCAUGAUUGGUAAUGUAUGAACAAUAAGACAACUUUUUAUGAAAUUAAUUUUGUUAGUUUAUUACACACUGUUACUAAUAUUUUAAAACAGGAGAAAUAUUUUUCUUUAAAGACAAAAUGAUGUAUGAUUUCUAACAGAGGACAUAAUUUAGCAUUUUCAAAAAUGUUUUAUGCUGUUGGUAUGACGUUUACUCCUUCUCUUGAUUCAUAUGUUCCAUGUUAUAUUUUAUCAACUUUUUUUUUAAAUGUAAAUUAUUACCAGGAAAGAAUCUUAGAGAACAUUCUGUAAACUGAUCAUUAAAUUGUUAGAAAUAUUUGUUACUGUUCAAAGUCUCUGCUAUUAUCCAGGCUUUCAUUGAAGUUGAUGUUGUAUUUUCCAAGAUGGAAACUAUUUAACUAGUUUUGUCACAAUCCUGUAUAAAAAUUUUUUAUAAAGAGAGUCUAAAUAGGCUAACAAGCAAUAAUAUAUUCCAUUUUAUGUGCACAGAGUGUGACUUGCAGGCUGUAGUACAUAUUGUUGAUAACAGUAGAUAACUGUCUUCGUUAUUAAUUACAUCACUUCUGAAAAGAUCCAUAUUAAUUUAUUAAUCCAUAUGGUUAAUAAAAAUGAAGAUU
Non-coding RNA from Pelodiscus sinensis (Chinese soft-shelled turtle), 4657 nucleotides. NCBI's taxonomy places the organism in Eukaryota, Metazoa, Chordata, Testudines, Trionychidae. The record is from RefSeq and is a predicted model, not a curated record.